AAUGAACGUUGGCGGCAUGGAUUAGGCAUGCAAGUCGAGCGCGAAGAGUCAUUUGCUUGCAUUUGACUCUGAAAGCGGCGUAAGGGUGAGUAACGCGUAGUUACCUACCUCCGGGUCCGGAAUAGCUGCGGGAAACUGCAGGUAAUGCCGGAUAAUAUCUCAGGAUCAAAGGUGAGAUUCCGCCCGGAGAGGGGACUGCGUCCUACUAGCUUGUUGGUGGGGUAAUGGCCUACCAAGGCUUCGAUGGGUAGCGGGCGUGAGAGCGUGGCCCGUCACACUGGGACUGAGACACUGCCCAGACACCUACGGGUGGCUGCAGUCGAGAAUCUUCGGCAAUGGGCGAAAGCCUGACCGAGCAAUGCCGCGUGCGGGAUGAAGGCCCUCGGGUUGUAAACCGCGAAAGUAAGGAGGAAGGACCUGCGAAGAGCAGGUUUUGACCGAUCUACAGUAAGGACGGGCUAAGUUCGUGCCAGCAGCCGCCGUAA
RNAcentral lists this ribosomal RNA (485 nucleotides) under uncultured bacterium. RNAcentral's name for it is "partial 16S ribosomal RNA". It matches the Rfam family "Bacterial small subunit ribosomal RNA", at positions 29 to 523 of the family's 1533-position model. The record is from RNAcentral.